AAGGACAUGUGGACAGUAUGGGAGUGAGAAUGUUGGCAUGAGUAGCGAGAUGUGGGUGAGAAUCCCACAGGCCGUAAACCCAAGGUUUCCAGGGGAAGGUUCGUCCGCCCUGGGUUAGUCGGGACCUAAGCUGAGGCCGAAAGGCGUAGGUGAUGGACAACAGGUUGAUAUUCCUGUACUACCGAUAACCGUUUGAGAGAAGGGAUGACACAGUAGGAUAAGCUAAGCACACUGUUGGUUAUGUGUGCCCAAGCAUUGAGGCAGUCAAAGUAGGUAAAUCCGCUUUGAUAAUGCUGGGAUGUGAUGGGGAGCGAAAUUUAGUAGCGAAGUAGCUGAUUUCACACUGUCAAGAAAAGUCUCUAUCGAGGUUAAAGGUACCCGUACCGCAAACCGACACAGGUGGGUGAGGAGAGUAUCCUAAGGCCAGCGAGAGAACUGUUGUUAAGGAACUCGGCAAAAUGACCCCGUAACUUAGGGAUAAGGGGUGCCACCAUCAGGUGGCCGCAGAGAAUAGGCCCAAGCGACUGUUUACCAAAAACAUAGGUUUCUGCUAAGUCGCAAGACGAUGUAUAGGAGCUGACGCCUGCCCGGUGCUGGAAGGUUAAGGGGAUCUGUUAGAGCAAUCGAAGCAGUGAACUUAAGCCCCAGUAAACGGCGGCCGUAACUAUAACGGUCCUAAGGUAGCGAAAUUCCUUGUCGGGUAAGUUCCGACCCGCACGAAAGGCGUAACGAUUUGGGCACUGUCUCAACAACAGACUCGGUGAAAUUGUCAGACCUGUGAAGAUGCCGGAUACCUGCGACAGGACGGGAAGGCCCCAUGGAGCUUUACUGUAGCAUGGGGUUGGGUCUUGGUACUACAUGUCCAGGAUAGGUGGGAGGCUUUGAAACCAGGACGCCAGUUUUGGCGGAGACAUCCUUGGGAUACCACCCUUGUAGUACUGGGACUCUAACCAUAG
This 956-nucleotide ribosomal RNA is filed under the name Clostridioides difficile. Its description in RNAcentral is "bacterial LSU rRNA". It matches the Rfam family "Bacterial large subunit ribosomal RNA", at positions 1265 to 2231 of the family's 2925-position model. The record is from RNAcentral. Lineage: Bacteria; Bacillati; Bacillota; Clostridia; Peptostreptococcales; Peptostreptococcaceae.